AGUGAACGCUGGCGGUAGGCCUAACACAUGCAAGUCGAACGGCAGCACAGUAAGAGCUUGCUCUUACGGGUGGCGAGUGGCGGACGGGUGAGGUAUACAUCGGAAUCUACUUUUUCGUGGGGGAUAACGUAGGGAAACUUACGCUAAUACCGCAUACGACCUACGGGUGAAAGCAGGGGAUCUUCGGACCUUGCGCGAGUGAAUGAGCCGAUGUCGGAUUAGCUAGUUGGCGGGGUAAAGGCCCACCAAGGCGACGAUCCGUAGCUGGUCUGAGAGGAUGAUCAGCCACACUGGAACUGAGACACGUCCCAGACUCCUACGGUAGGAAGCAGUGGGGAAUAUUGGACAAUGGGGGAAAGCCUGAUACAGCCAUACCGCGUGGGUGAAGAAGGACUUCGGGUUGUAAAGCCCUUUUGUUGGGAAAGAAAAGCAGCAGGUUAAUACCCCGCUGUUCUGACGGUACCCAAAGAAUAAGCACCGGCUAACUUCGUG
RNAcentral lists this ribosomal RNA (492 nucleotides) under uncultured bacterium. RNAcentral describes it as "partial 16S ribosomal RNA". It matches the Rfam family "Bacterial small subunit ribosomal RNA", at positions 29 to 507 of the family's 1533-position model. The record is from RNAcentral.